RNAcentral lists this transfer RNA (63 nucleotides) under Nesophrosyne sp. 23 GMB-2012. RNAcentral describes it as "tRNA-Ser". Lineage: Eukaryota; Metazoa; Arthropoda; Insecta; Hemiptera; Cicadellidae. The record is from RNAcentral.
GGUUAUUUAGCUUAUAUAAAAGUUUAUAUUUUGAAAGUAUAAGAAAGAGAAAUUUAAUGACUU